GUAAAGGCAUGGAGCAGGAAAAGUACUUUUCGGUGGGACGCCAGAGAGAAGCUGUUAGAAGCUGGGAGCGGCUUUCGUCUGAGGAAAAGGAAGUGCGCCUGUGAGCUGAUCCGGGGAACAGACAUAAGUAUCCGGAUCCGGUAAGCACCCGUUAUGUGCAUGGCGUUUUACGCCAGAGUGAAGGGCAUUGUCCCUUAAGUAGAGUGGAACCGCGGAUAAAUUCGUCUCUAAG
RNAcentral lists this non-coding RNA (232 nucleotides) under Bacillota bacterium. RNAcentral describes it as "Firmicutes bacterium T-box sequence". It matches the Rfam family "T-box leader". From Rfam's summary of the family: Uncharged tRNA acts as the effector for transcription antitermination of genes in the T-box leader family. T-boxes are found upstream of many aminoacyl-tRNA synthetase genes and some amino acid biosynthetic genes usually in Gram-positive bacteria. The anticodon of a specific tRNA base pairs to a specifier sequence within the T-box motif, and the NCCA acceptor tail of the tRNA base pairs to a conserved bulge in the T-box antiterminator hairpin. The record is from RNAcentral. Lineage: Bacteria; Bacillati; Bacillota.